ACGGAAGGCAGCAGUGGGGAAUAUUGGGCAAUGGGCGAAAGCCUGACCCAGCAACGCCGCGUGAAGGAAGAAGGCCUUCGGGUUGUAAACUUCUUUUAUCAGGGACGAAGAACGUGACGGUACCUGAUGAAUAAGCCACGGCUAACUACGUGCCAGCAGCCGCGGUAAUACGUAGGUGGCAAGCGUUAUCCGGAUUUACUGGGUGUAAAGGGCGCGUAGGCGGGGAUGCAAGUCAGAUGUGAAAUCCACGGGCUCAACUCGUGAACUGCAUUUGAAACUGCUGAUCUUGAGUAUCGGAGAGGCAAUCGGAAUUCCUAGUGUAGCGGUGAAAUGCGUAGAUAUUAGGAGGAACACCAGUGGCGAAGGCGGAUUGCUGGACGACAACUGACGGUGAGGCGCGAAAGCGUGGGGAGCAAACAGGAUUAGAUACCCUGGUA
This 437-nucleotide ribosomal RNA is filed under the name uncultured Clostridium sp. Its description in RNAcentral is "partial 16S ribosomal RNA". It matches the Rfam family "Bacterial small subunit ribosomal RNA", at positions 341 to 792 of the family's 1533-position model. The record is from RNAcentral. Lineage: Bacteria; Bacillati; Bacillota; Clostridia; Eubacteriales; Clostridiaceae.